RNAcentral lists this long non-coding RNA (1888 nucleotides) under Anas platyrhynchos platyrhynchos (common mallard). RNAcentral describes it as "lncRNA (ENSAPLG00000028451.1)". The record is from RNAcentral. Lineage: Eukaryota; Metazoa; Chordata; Aves; Anseriformes; Anatidae.
AUGCCCACACAAAAGGUCCCAGCUGCACCGCAAGCUUCUGUCCCACUGUCCCCAGCUCAGAGUGAAGCAGAAACUCGAAGCAGACGGUGCUCCCCAAAAGCAGUGCCCCAAAAGAUGCUGGGGCAGGCGCCAUGGGCAAGGCUGUCUCCUUCUGUCCCUGCCGUCCUGCUGCUGGCACUCUGUGGCAGCAUGACCUCCCAGGACAUCUGCAGCUCCUCAGGGGAUCUCCUGGCUCCUGCUCUCCAAAUGAACUCAAGUUCUGCUCAGCCAGGUACCACAGUUUUGCUCCAGUGUAUUCUCCCUGUGGUGUCAUCCGUAAUAAGAAUCAUCAUCUGCAAGGAUGGCAAGCAGCUGUACAGCGAGAAAGCCCAUCAAGAGCAGCUGAGCUACUCUGUGGUCUUGAACAUCACGUCAAGAAGCGCAGGAAGAUAUACAUGUGGGUACCAGCAGAGGAAUGAGAUGAAACAGAGGAGGAGCUCUGCCCUCAGUGCUGGCCGCAUCCUGAAUGUCCCAGGGGCAGGUGCUGGCCUGACCACCCUGGACAUCUACAGCUCCCCAGGCAAUGUGGCGAGUUCCCCAGCAAGUCCAUCACCCCCAGCUCCCCAUGCCCGGAUCCUACACACCCUCCCCAUAGGCAUGGUGGUAGCAGUGGCAGCCGUCGGCCUCAUCCUCCUGGCUGCAGGCAGCUGGUUUGCCAUCAGGAAAGGUGCCUGCAGAGGGAGAUGCCCAAGGCAACAGCACGUUGACAGCCCACAGACGGAAGACACCAACUAUGGUGACAUCCAGUACUCCACCAUCGCCCAUGUUCGACGGGACAGGCCUCCUCCUGUGCAGCAGAUGGGAAAAACCACGACAUAUGCCACAGUGACCCGCACCCAGACCCGAUAGCGCUGUCAUAGGGCAAGUGCACAGGAGCCUUGUCCACGGCUGCCUUUGCUCUCCUGUAAAGGGCUUGAGCGGCCAUAACAUGGGGUGGGGGUUGCCUUUUGGGCUUCUUUGGGGUUUUCUGUCACAGGGAAGAGUUGUGUGUGUUUAGCCAAGAGGAUGUAGGACUCACACCUGCAUCAAUAAUACAUUAAUACUUCUAAAAUAUAAGAGAUAUAGUAAAUCAUACUGUGAUAGUAUUGAUUUUUUCUCAAAAGAAGAAAACAUCUCGCUUUGCUCAGUGGAGGAUGUGUACACCUAAGUUGCAUUAUAAAGUCGCGAUGGUGCUAUUCCACCCAUGGAGAUGCACAUUUGGACCUACAAGGACAGAUAGCACUGCAGGAAUGUGCUCACGUGUGUGUGCCAACCGGUGUGUGCACUGCAGAUGUGGUUCUGCUCAGAUGAGAAACAAACAUCUCUGACUUUGUGUUCCUGAUGGCACCUAAGUCUCAUGCAGCCACAUCAGGAAUGGGACGGAGGAGACAGACAGACACUGAGGCACAAAGGGGUGGUGGUGUCAAUCUUAAGGGAUGUGAAGAGCCUUGCAAACAGACCUUGCCGAGAACUACACCAGCACUUUUCUGUUUGGGGUGGCUUCAUUGAGAGCUGGCAGAUCAGCAGGGCUUUCCCCAGUGUUCUCUGCCUCUCUCAGAGAACCAGCUGCAUCGCCUCUCACUUGCUCAGCUUUUGGCAUGCAGAGGGUGUUGAGAGCAGUUGGAUUGAGAGAGCUGCAAAACACAAGGGAGAACAAGCAGUAGACUUGAUCUGGCGGUGCCCACCAUGGGGAAAUGCUGGGAGCAUGGAAGGAGGGGGAUUCAGCCAGAGCACAGCCAUGCAAAGCUCCCAGGCUCCUGCCAUCAGAAGCACUUUUGGCUUGCAUUUGCUCUCCAACAGCCUGCACUCUUGCAACCAUCACGUGCACGCUCAGUGUGGAAGGCUGUGCUUGGGCUGAACUCACCUUAAC